GUGAAUCAUCGAAUCUUUGAACGCAACUUGCACCAUGCAGCGAUGGAUGGUAUGUCUGUUUGAGUACGACAACGAAAUGCGCUUCGGUGCGACGUGGCCUGCACGUGUGUGGGCUGAAAAGGAGCCAGUCAGGCUGGACGGUCUGGCAGUGUGCUAGGGACGGUGCUGGGGGGUGGUGGUGUGCGGAUCAUGGCUCGCCAUGGAUGUGCACUGGCGCCUCAGCCGGUCUUGUCGCUGCCGACGCCGACCAGCCAUCAACAAUAAGAGUAAUCCGUCUCAAAUCAGGCAAGACGACCCGCU
Molecule: unclassified non-coding RNA, 300 nt
Filed under: uncultured fungus
Lineage: Eukaryota; Fungi
Description: sequence contains 5.8S rRNA gene, ITS2
Source: RNAcentral